UCGGGAAUUUUGGGCAAUGGGCGAAAGCCUGACCCAGCAACGCCGCGUGAAGGAUGGAGUAUUUCGGUAUGUAAACUUCGAAAGAAUAGGAAGAAUAAAUGACGGUACUAUUUAUAAGGUCCGGCUAACUACGUGCCAGCAGCCGCGGUAAUACGUAGGGACCAAGCGUUGUUCGGAUUUACUGGGCGUAAAGGGCGCGUAGGCGGCAAUUCAAGUCAUCUGUGAAAUCUCCGGGCUUAACUCGGAACGGUCAGAUGAUACUGCUUUGCUAGAGUGCAGAAGGGGCAAUCGGAAUUCUUGGUGUAGCGGUGAAAUGCGUAGAUAUCAAGAGGAACACCUGAGGUGAAGACGGGUUGCUGGGCUGGCACUGACGCUGAGGCGCGAAAGCCAGGGGAGCAAACGGGGAUUAGAUACCCUCGUAGUCCCUGAGCGGGCUGGCAAGGCGCAU
This 448-nucleotide ribosomal RNA is filed under the name uncultured bacterium. RNAcentral's name for it is "bacterial SSU rRNA". It matches the Rfam family "Bacterial small subunit ribosomal RNA", at positions 355 to 825 of the family's 1533-position model. The record is from RNAcentral.